ACACUAGUGGGGAUAGUUCUGUGUAUACAGUGAUUAAGCACAUAGGUUCUGGAGCCAGUCUGUUUCUUUCAAAAUCACCUCAUUGCUUUUGAAGAAUCAGGGAAACCCCCAUGAGACUACAGGUGUGAAGCAAGAUAGAAGCAUCAGUGCAAAAGAGUACUGCAUUUCCAAAUAAAGCCACUCACAAUCUUUAAUCAGGCUGUAAAUUUUAAGAAAUCUGGACCAAGACAGUUUGCUCCAAGAGUAUCCCACAAAUGCAGAUCUUCAGAGUGAGAUUUUAUUAUUGGAUUGCUCACCUGUCUGUUGCAUCUUCAACCUUUCUGGACUACAGCACCUGCCAACUGACCCCCACAUCAUGGCUCCAACGCUGGCUUCAUCACAUAUCUUCUCUCUCAGUCCCUUUGGCUCUCAGGGUGCAAUAGCUUAACAAAAUUGCUGAUCUAGGUGCCUCAGCAUUGUUUCUUUGUCAUAGUCUCUGUAUUAUCUUAUUUUGAGCCAUUCUUUUCCUGCAAAGAUCCUAACUGAAUGAGAUAACUACUUCAUAAGCUAUUUGUAAGGUUUAAAUAAAUUAAUGCAUAUUUAAUACAUGAA
This 591-nucleotide long non-coding RNA is filed under the name Homo sapiens (human). Its description in RNAcentral is "novel transcript". The record is from RNAcentral. Lineage: Eukaryota; Metazoa; Chordata; Mammalia; Primates; Hominidae.